CCUACGGGCGGCAGCAGUGGGGAAUAUUGCACAAUGGGCGCAAGCCUGAUGCAGCCAUGCCGCGUGUGUGAAGAAGGCCUUCGGGUUGUAAAGCACUUUCAGCGGGGAGGAAGGCGUUAAGGUUAAUAACCUUGUCGAUUGACGUUACCCGCAGAAGAAGCACCGGCUAACUCCGUGCCAGCAGCCGCGGUAAUACGGAGGGUGCAAGCGUUAAUCGGAAUUACUGGGCGUAAAGCGCACGCAGGCGGUCUGUCAAGUCGGAUGUGAAAUCCCCGGGCUCAACCUGGGAACUGCAUUCGAAACUGGCAGGCUAGAGUCUUGUAGAGGGGGGUAGAAUUCCAGGUGUAGCGGUGAAAUGCGUAGAGAUCUGGAGGAAUACCGGAGGCGAAGGCGGCCCCCUGGACAAAGACUGACGCUCAGGUGCGAAAGCGUGGGGAGCAAACAGGAUUAGAUACCCGUGUAGUC
RNAcentral lists this ribosomal RNA (465 nucleotides) under uncultured Klebsiella sp. RNAcentral describes it as "bacterial SSU rRNA". It matches the Rfam family "Bacterial small subunit ribosomal RNA", at positions 338 to 795 of the family's 1533-position model. Lineage: Bacteria; Pseudomonadati; Pseudomonadota; Gammaproteobacteria; Enterobacterales; Enterobacteriaceae. The record is from RNAcentral.